UACGAAGGGGGCUAGCGUUGCUCGGAAUCACUGGGCGUAAAGCGCACGUAGGCGGAUUGCUAAGUCAGGGGUGAAAUCCUGGAGCUCAACUCCAGAACUGCCUUUGAUACUGGCGAUCUUGAGUCCGGGAGAGGUGAGUGGAACUGCGAGUGUAGAGGUGAAAUUCGUAGAUAUUCGCAAGAACACCAGUGGCGAAGGCGGCUCACUGGCCCGGUACUGACGCUGAGGUGCGAAAGCCAGGGGAGCAAACGGG
This 253-nucleotide ribosomal RNA is filed under the name uncultured bacterium. Its description in RNAcentral is "partial 16S ribosomal RNA". It matches the Rfam family "Bacterial small subunit ribosomal RNA", at positions 524 to 776 of the family's 1533-position model. The record is from RNAcentral.